UACGGAGGGAGCUAGCGUUAUUCGGAAUUACUGGGCGUAAAGCGUACGUAGGCGGCUUUGCAAGUUAGAGGUGAAAGCCUGGAGCUCAACUCCAGAACUGCCUUUAAAACUGCAUCGCUUGAAUCCAGGAGAGGUGAGUGGAAUUCCGAGUGUAGAGGUGAAAUUCGUAGAUAUUCGGAAGAACACCAGUGGCGAAGGCGGCUCACUGGACCGGAACUGACGCUGAGGCGCGAAAGCGUGGGGAGCAAACGGG
This 253-nucleotide ribosomal RNA is filed under the name uncultured bacterium. Its description in RNAcentral is "partial 16S ribosomal RNA". It matches the Rfam family "Bacterial small subunit ribosomal RNA", at positions 524 to 776 of the family's 1533-position model. The record is from RNAcentral.